Gossypium hirsutum (cotton) is the source of this 135-nucleotide non-coding RNA. The record is from Rfam. Lineage: Eukaryota; Viridiplantae; Streptophyta; Magnoliopsida; Malvales; Malvaceae.
UGUUAAAAAUUUCAUUCAUUUUUACUAUUAAAAACUGAUGUAACUGAUGGAAUAUCCAAACGGCAUGCCAUGUAUGCAUCAUGCUGACAUAUAUAGACCAGUUUUUAACGGUAGAAAUUGAUGAAAAAUUUAAAA